Molecule: ribosomal RNA, 860 nt
Filed under: uncultured fungus
Lineage: Eukaryota; Fungi
Description: SSU rRNA
Rfam family: Eukaryotic small subunit ribosomal RNA
Source: RNAcentral
GUGCCAGCAGCCGCGGUAAUUCCAGCUCCAAUAGCGUAUAUUAAAGUUGUUGUGGUUAAAAAGCUCGUAGUUGAACCUUGGGCCUGGCUGGCCGGUCCGCCUCACCGCGUGCACUGGUCCGGCCGGGCCUUUCCCUCUGUGGAACCCCAUACCCUUCACUGGGCGUGGCGGGGAAACAGGACAUUUACUUUGAAAAAAUUAGAGUGCUCCAGGCAGGCCUAUGCUCGAAUACAUUAGCAUGGAAUAAUAAAAUAGGACGCGCGGUUCUAUUUUGUUGGUUUAUAGGACCGCCGUAAUGAUUAAUAGGGACAGUCGGGGGCAUCAGUAUUCAACUGUCAGAGGCGAAAUUCUUGGAUCAGUUGAAGACUAACUACUGCGAAAGCAUUUGCCAAGGAUGUUUUCAUUAAUCAGGAACGAAAGUUAGGGGAUCGAAGACGAUCAGAUACCGUCGUAGUCUUAACCAUAAACUAUGCCGACUAGGGAUCGGACGGUGUUAUUCAUGACCCGUUCGGCACCUUACGAGAAAUCAAAGUGCUUGGGCUCCAGGGGGAGUAUGGUCGCAAGGCUGAAACUUAAAGAAAUUGACGGAAGGGCACCACCAGGGGUGGAGCCUGCGGCUUAAUUUGACUCAACACGGGGAAACUCACCAGGUCCAGACACAAUAAGGAUUGACAGAUUGAGAGCUCUUUCUUGAUUUUGUGGGUGGUGGUGCAUGGCCGUUCUUAGUUGGUGGGGUGACUUGUCUGCUUAAUUGCGAUACGAACGAGACCUAACCUGCUAAAUAGCCCGCAUUGCUCCGGCAGUGCGCUGGCUUCUUAGAGGGACUUUCGGCUCAAGCCGAAGGAAGUUUGGAGGCAUUA